RNAcentral lists this non-coding RNA (21 nucleotides) under Caenorhabditis elegans. Lineage: Eukaryota; Metazoa; Nematoda; Chromadorea; Rhabditida; Rhabditidae. The record is from RNAcentral.
UGCACUUGUAGUUUCGCCCUC